UACGUAGGGGGCAAGCGUUGUCCGGAAUCAUUGGGCGUAAAGAGCGUGUAGGCGGUCCGAUAAGUCGGUUGUGAAAGUCCAGGGCUCAACCCUGGGAUGCCGACCGAUACUGUCGGACUAGAGUUCGGAAGAGGCGAGUGGAAUUCCUGGUGUAGCAGUGAAAUGCGCAGAUAUCAGGAGGAACACCAAUGGCGAAGGCAGCUCGCUGGGACGGUACUGACGCUGAGACGCGAAAGCGUGGGGAGCAAACGG
This 252-nucleotide ribosomal RNA is filed under the name uncultured bacterium. RNAcentral describes it as "partial 16S ribosomal RNA". It matches the Rfam family "Bacterial small subunit ribosomal RNA", at positions 524 to 775 of the family's 1533-position model. The record is from RNAcentral.